AACGAACGCUGGCGGCGCGCCUAACACAUGCAAGUCGAACGGCCGAUGGGGCUUGCUUCAUCGGCAGUGGCGGACGGGUGAGUAACGCGUGGGGACCUGCCUUUCGGCUCGGGACAACCGUGGGAAACUACGGCUAAGACCGGAUACGCCCCGGGUUUAAUCCGGGGGAAAGAUUCAUCACCGAGAGAUGGACCCGCGUCCGAUUAGCUAGACGGUGGGGUAAUGGCCUACCGUGGCUUCGAUCGGUAGCCGGCCUGAGAGGGUGGCCGGCCACACUGGGACUGAGACACGGCCCAGACUCCUACGGGAGGCAGCAGUGGGGAAUCUUGGACAAUGGGGGCAACCCUGAUCCAGCGACGCCGCGUGGGUGACGAAGGCCUUCGGGUUGUAAAGCCCUUUUGCCGGGGACGAUGAUGACGGUACCCGGAGAAUAAGCACCGGCUAACUCCGUGCCAGCAGCCGCCGUAACAC
Molecule: ribosomal RNA, 471 nt
Filed under: uncultured bacterium
Lineage: Bacteria
Description: bacterial SSU rRNA
Rfam family: Bacterial small subunit ribosomal RNA
Source: RNAcentral